CUCUCUCUCUCUCCUGCUGCAUUGUGAAGAAACUGCUUGCUUCCCUCUCACCCUCUGCAGUUUCCUGAGGCCUCCCCAGCCAUGCGGAACGGGAGAAAGUUUAAGCUCUCCUCACUAUGAGUUUUCAAGUAUAAAAGACUUUUUCUUCCACGAUUUUGAGAACAACUGAGGACUCUUGUGACCAGGACAACAGGGAAGCUUGCAGCAAGAUAGCUCCAGGUUGGAUUCAUGCUUCGCACCCCAAGGGCUGCCAGCCAGAGAGGAGGAGAAGCAAUCACUCCUGCAGUUUCUGAACACUACACAGACGCCAGGUAGCUUCUUCAGGAGAACAGCCCUCUGAGGAGGCAGGAAGAGGAGGCUUAUCUUUCAGCAGCCGGAGCUGCUGAGAUCUCUGGGCAGAUUAAGCUCUCUCUAAUGGAUGGGCUCCAGCCUGGCACAUUCAGUGGAGAGGGAUCCACUCAUCCAUCAUCAACAUAAUAUGGUCCUCCCUGCACUUCACAGUGUCCUCUUGCUAUUGAAAAGGCUUUUUUGCCUUCUCAAGUUUCUUUGUCAACAGUCUACAGGAAGAAGCUCAGGCCGCCACCGGCAGAGAACCUUCCACUGGCCACUCAGCGAAAGGCAGCUGAUUCAGCACCUGGAGAAGACCGGCAACAGGGCUGAGUUUCCUUGCACUGCAGAGGAGGGGAGAGGCAAGGAGUGGACAUGAGCACGGAGGAUCCAGGGCACUCCCUUGAUGGUGAUGCCCUCGAAGGGCUGCCCCGUGCCCAUUGUACAGAAUGUGGAUUCCACCCCACGCCAUGAGAGCUCUCGCGCAGGCCCAGACCACUUUAUAAGCCAUAUUUCCCACCAAUUCCUGUUUCUGGAUCUGUCAGGUUAUUUCAUAUUUCUAGGCCCUUAGCUUUGCUUCCUCUUCCCUGAACGCCCUUUGCCCACAUCAUCCCAGCUCUCCUUCUCCUCCUGCCUUCUGUCUUCUCUUCCUCUCAUUUCUUGUCACCCAGGCUGGAGUCCAGUGGCGUGAUCACGGCUCACUACAGCCUUGAACUCCCGGGCUCAGGUGAUCCUCCCACCUGAGCCUCCCGAGUAGCUGGGACUACAGAUGCACACCACCAUGCCAGCUAAUUUUUAAAACUGUUUUUAGGGAUGGGGUCAUCUUCCUGUGUUGCCCAGGCUUGUCUCAAACUCCUGGGCUCAAGUGAUCCUCUCACCUCAGCCUUCCAAAGUGCUGGGAUUACAGGCAUGAGCCACAACAUCCAGCCCCUUUUCUCUUUUCUUACCCUUCUUUCCUAUUUUCUUUUCCAUUUUCUUUCCCUCCCUUCUUCUUUCUUUCCUAACUAUUAAGGAGUAGAUUGAAUUCAAGGUCUUUAUGUGUGUCAGUUUUUGUUUUCCAACAAAUAUUUCUUAAAAACCAACCAUUGAAACGUAAUGGUAACCACUGGCCCCUGUCUCCACCUCCACACCUAAGAAGCCCCAAAUCCAGAUGUGUCCAUUAAAAUCAGUCCAGAUCUUCUUUACCAAGCCACUAGAUGUCAUAUUAAUUUCACAGCAGAAUAGGGAAGCCCAUGCCGGAGCUGAAAACCUGCAACAACAAAAAAGCAUCUAAAUACUGCAAAAAAAAAAAAAAAAAAGAGGGAGAGAGGCAUCUUAAUAUUUGUCCUUAACACAUCAUACCAGACUUCUGCUUCCAGGAAUGACUGGAUGUGGUUUUUCUAGGUGGACAUAAUACAAAAUGCAGCUACCUGAAAACAAUGGAAAGUGGACAGAGCAGGCAGAUUCUGGUGGGAAGUCCACGCAAUAAAGAAAAGAUGUUACAGGAA
Homo sapiens (human) is the source of this 1814-nucleotide long non-coding RNA. Ensembl annotates it as long intergenic non-protein coding RNA 958. The record is from Ensembl. Lineage: Eukaryota; Metazoa; Chordata; Mammalia; Primates; Hominidae.